Molecule: ribosomal RNA, 1373 nt
Filed under: metagenome
Description: bacterial SSU rRNA
Rfam family: Bacterial small subunit ribosomal RNA
Source: RNAcentral
AGAGUUUGAUCCUGGCUCAGGAUGAACGCUGGCGGCGUGCUUAACACAUGCAAGUCGAACGAUCCUUCGGGAUAGUGGCGGACGGGUGAGUAACGCGUGGGAAUCUGCCCUCAGGAGGGGGAUAACGGCUGGAAACGGCCGCUAAUACCCCAUAUGCCGAGAGGUGAAAUGAAUUUCGCCUGAGGAUGAGCCCGCGUCUGAUUAGCUAGUUGGUGGGGUAAAGGCCUACCAAGGCAACGAUCAGUAGCUGGUCUGAGAGGAUGAUCAGCCACACUGGGUCUGAGACACGGCCCAGACUCCUACGGGAGGCAGCAGUGGGGAAUUUUCCGCAAUGGGCGAAAGCCUGACGGAGCAACGCCGCGUGAGGGAUGAAGGCCUCUGGGCUGUAAACCUCUUUUCUCAAGGAAGAAGACCUGACGGUACUUGAGGAAUAAGCCACGGCUAAUUCCGUGCCAGCAGCCGCGGUAAUACGGGAGUGGCAAGCGUUAUCCGGAAUUAUUGGGCGUAAAGCGUCCGCAGGCGGCCUUGUAAGUCUGUUGUUAAAGCGUGGAGCUCAACUCCAUUUAAGCAAUGGAAACUACAAGGCUGGAGUGUGGUAGGGGCAGAGGGAAUUCCCGGUGUAGCGGUGAAAUGCGUAGAUAUCGGGAAGAACACCAGUGGCGAAGGCGCUCUGCUGGGCCAUAACUGACGCUCAUGGACGAAAGCCAGGGGAGCGAAAGGGAUUAGAUACCCCUGUAGUCCCGGCCGUAAACGAUGAACACUAGGUGUCGGGGGAAUCGACCCCCUCGGUGUCGUAGCCAACGCGUUAAGUGUUCCGCCUGGGGAGUACGCACGCAAGUGUGAAACUCAAAGGAAUUGACGGGGGCCCGCACAAGCGGUGGAGUAUGUGGUUUAAUUCGACGCAACGCGAAGAACCUUACCAGGGUUUGACAUCCUGCGAACCCCUGAGAAAUCGGGGGGUGCCUUCGGGAGCGCAGAGACAGGUGGUGCAUGGCUGUCGUCAGCUCGUGUCGUGAGAUGUUGGGUUAAGUCCCGCAACGAGCGCAACCCACGUCUUUAGUUGCCAGCAUUCAGUUGGGCACUCUAGAGAGACCGCCGGUGAUAAACCGGAGGAAGGUGUGGAUGACGUCAAGUCAUCAUGCCCCUUACAUCCUGGGCUACACACGUACUACAAUGCUACGGACAAAGGGCAGCAAGCUCGCGAGAGUUAGCAAAUCCCAUAAACCGUGGCUCAGUUCAGAUCGUAGGCUGCAACUCGCCUACGUGAAGGAGGAAUCGCUAGUAAUCGCAGGUCAGCAUACUGCGGUGAAUACGUUCCCGGGCCUUGUACACACCGCCCGUCACACCAUGGAAGUUGGCCAUGCCCGAAGUCG